This 467-nucleotide ribosomal RNA is filed under the name uncultured bacterium. RNAcentral describes it as "partial 16S ribosomal RNA". It matches the Rfam family "Bacterial small subunit ribosomal RNA", at positions 28 to 506 of the family's 1533-position model. The record is from RNAcentral.
GACGAACGCUGGCGGCGUGCUUAACACAUGCAAGUCGAACGGAAAGGCCCUGCUUUUGUGGGGUGCUCGAGUGGCGAACGGGUGAGUAACACGUGAGUAACCUGCCCUUGACUUUGGGAUAACUUCAGGAAACUGGGGCUAAUACCGGAUAGGAGCUCCUGCUGCAUGGUGGGGGUUGGAAAGUUUCGGCGGUUGGGGAUGGACUCGCGGCUUAUCAGCUUGUUGGUGGGGUAGUGGCUUACCAAGGCUUUGACGGGUAGCCGGCCUGAGAGGGUGACCGGCCAAAUUGGGAAUGGGAUACGGCCCAGACGCCUACGGGAGGAAGGAGUGGGGAAUAUUGCACAAUGGGCGGAAGCCUGAUGCAGCAACGCCGCGUGCGGGAUGACGGCCUUCGGGUUGUAAACCGCUUUCGCCUGUGACGAAGCGUGAGUGACGGUAAUGGGUAAAGAAGCACCGGCUAACUACGU